This 229-nucleotide ribosomal RNA is filed under the name uncultured bacterium. Its description in RNAcentral is "partial 16S ribosomal RNA". It matches the Rfam family "Bacterial small subunit ribosomal RNA", at positions 568 to 796 of the family's 1533-position model. The record is from RNAcentral.
UCCGUAGGCGGUUCUUUAAGUCAGUGGUGAAAUCCCAGAGCUCAACUCUGGAACUGCCAUUGAAACUGAAGAACUUGAAUAUGGUUGAGGUAGGCGGAAUACGUUAUGUAGCGGUGAAAUGCAUAGAUAUAACGUAGAACACCAAUUGCGAAGGCAGCUUACUAAACCAUUAUUGACGCUGAUGGAAGAAAGCGUGGGGAGCGAACAGGAUUAGAUACCCUGGUAGUCC